RNAcentral lists this ribosomal RNA (531 nucleotides) under uncultured bacterium. RNAcentral's name for it is "bacterial SSU rRNA". It matches the Rfam family "Bacterial small subunit ribosomal RNA", at positions 355 to 902 of the family's 1533-position model. The record is from RNAcentral.
UGGGGAAUCUUGGACAAUGGGGGCAACCCUGAUCCAGCCAUGCCGCGUGAGUGAUGAAGGCCUUAGGGUCGUAAAGCUCUUUCGCCUGUGAAGAUAAUGACGGUAGCAGGUAAAGAAACCCCGGCUAACUCCGUGCCAGCAGCCGCGGUAAUACGGAGGGGGUUAGCGUUGUUCGGAAUUACUGGGCGUAAAGCGCACGUAGGCGGACCAGAAAGUUGGGGGUGAAAUCCCGGGGCUCAACCCCGGAACUGCCUCCAAAACUAUUGGUCUAGAGUUCGAGAGAGGUGAGUGGAAUUCCAAGUGUAGAGGUGAAAUUCGUAGAUAUUUGGAGGAACACCAGUGGCGAAGGCGGCUCACUGGCUCGAUACUGACGCUGAGGUGCGAAAGUGUGGGGAGCAAACAGGAUUAGAUACCCUGGUAGUCCACACCGUAAAACGAUGAAUGCCAGUCGUCGGGGUAGCAUGCUAUUCGGUGACACACCUAACGGAUUAAGCAUUCCGCCUGGGGAGUACGGUCGCAAGAUUAAAACUC